AUGAAGAAAAAAAAAGCCUAGCUAGAAUUAAUAUUUCAAAGUUUCAACUAUAUAUUAAAAUAAACAUUUAAAUUAAGGAGUAAAUAGUAAAUAUACAUACCUUAAUUAAUUGAUUCAUAGCCUUCGUUUUCAUGCUGGCCCCUGCUGGCUUAGGAAUCUUGGUGCCUCCGAAUAUAAAUUUGUUUGAUGAAUUUGGACUUUUAGUUUCAUUAUGGGUUUCUAGAACUUCAUAUAUAUUGUGAUAUCUAAAGCUCUUAAGGAUUGUGGAAGCAGACCCCCCCCACUUGCAAUGCACGCUUUGAAAUAGACUAUACAGUUCACGUGUCUAUAUGAUAAUUAAUUACCAUGCUAGUAUAAUUCAAUUAAAGCAUAUGAGAGAGCGACAAGCAUUCACUUUCUAUGCAGGUGAAGCAGUACGUACGUAGCAUAGGGUGAGGCCAAGAGACAUAUAUAGGAACCUAGCUAGCUACUUCAACAUAUAAUGAAAUGGUGGUCUCAUCUCAUCUCAUCUCUCUCUGCCAUAAUACUUCUGCUUUCUGGUGGUCCCAAUCCAACGGUUGGAGAUCUCUCUUUUCUACUUUCUCUGUCAAUGUCUCUCUAUGUUAGCCAUCUUCAGCAUGCGUUAUAAAGGAAUCACACAUUUUUAAUUAUUAUUUUCA
Non-coding RNA from Cicer arietinum (chickpea), 659 nucleotides. The record is from RefSeq and is a predicted model, not a curated record. Lineage: Eukaryota; Viridiplantae; Streptophyta; Magnoliopsida; Fabales; Fabaceae.